GUCCAUGUAGUAUAAAUAUUACACUGGUCUUGUAAGCCAGAAACGGGGAUAACUUCCCCCAUAGACU
This 67-nucleotide transfer RNA is filed under the name Glossophaga soricina (Pallas's long-tongued bat). RNAcentral describes it as "tRNA-Thr". It matches the Rfam family "tRNA". Rfam says of the family: Transfer RNA (tRNA) molecules are approximately 80 nucleotides in length. Their secondary structure includes four short double-helical elements and three loops (D, anti-codon, and T loops). Lineage: Eukaryota; Metazoa; Chordata; Mammalia; Chiroptera; Phyllostomidae. RNAcentral also lists the same sequence under 1 other name. The record is from RNAcentral.